UGCGUAGGCGGCUUCUUAAGUCAGUGGUGAAAUCCUGCGGCUCAACCGUAGAACUGCCAUUGAAACUGAGGAGCUUGAAUUUAGUUGAGGUAGGCGGAAUGAGUAGUGUAGCGGUGAAAUGCUUAGAUAUUACUCAGAACACCGAUUGCGAAGGCAGCUUACUAAACUAACAUCGACGCUGAUGCACGAAAGCGUGGGGAGCGAACAGGAUUAGAUACCCUGGUAGUC
This 228-nucleotide ribosomal RNA is filed under the name uncultured bacterium. Its description in RNAcentral is "partial 16S ribosomal RNA". It matches the Rfam family "Bacterial small subunit ribosomal RNA", at positions 568 to 795 of the family's 1533-position model. The record is from RNAcentral.